This 464-nucleotide ribosomal RNA is filed under the name uncultured bacterium. Its description in RNAcentral is "bacterial SSU rRNA". It matches the Rfam family "Bacterial small subunit ribosomal RNA", at positions 338 to 793 of the family's 1533-position model. The record is from RNAcentral.
CCUACGGGAGGCAGCAGUGAGGAAUAUUGGGCAAUGGGCGAAAGCCUGACCCAGCCACGCCGCGUGUGUGAUGAAGGCUUUCGGGUCGUAAAGCUCUGUCAGGGGGGAAGAAACACCUGAAGGUUAAUAUCCUUUAGGCUUGACGGUACCCUCAAAGGAAGCACCGGCUAACUCCGUGCCAGCAGCCGCGGUAAUACGGAGGGUGCAAGCGUUGUUCGGAAUUAUUGGGCGUAAAGCGCGUGUAGGCGGUUUGUUAAGUCUGAUGUGAAAGCCCCGGGCUCAACCCGGGAAGUGCAUUGGAAACUGUUUUACUUGAGUCAGUGAGGGGAGGGCAGAAUUCCUGGUGUAGCGGUGAAAUGCGUAGAUAUCAGGAGGAAGGCCUGUGGCGAAGGCGGCCCUCUGGCACUGGACUGACGCUGAGGCGCGAAAGCGUGGGGAGCAAACAGGAUUAGAUACCCUGGUAG